GGUGAACGCUGGCGGCGUGCUUGACACAUGCAAGUCGAACGGUAUGUGGCAACACAUAGAGUGGCGAACGGGUGAGUAACACGUGGGAACGUAUCUUUUGCAGGGGGAUAACUGACCGAAAGGACAGCUAAUACCGCAUAAGUCCGAGAGGAGAAAGGUGCAACAGCAUCGGCAGAAGAGCGGCCCGCGGUCCAUCAGCUAGUUGGUGAGGUAAGGGCUUACCAAGGCGACGACGGAUAGCCGGCGUGAGAGCGUGGCCGGCCACAAGGACACUGAGAUACGGGUCCUACUCCUACGGGAGGCAGCAGUGCGGAAUUUUAGAUAAUGGAGGGAACUCUGAUCUAGCGACGCCGCGUGCAGGAAGAAGGUCUUCGGAUUGUAAACUGCUGUGGUAAGGGAAAAUGCUAUGUAGAGUGGAAAGCUACAUAGAGGGAUGGGUACCUUACUAGAAAGCCCCGGCUAACUACGUG
This 470-nucleotide ribosomal RNA is filed under the name uncultured bacterium. RNAcentral's name for it is "bacterial SSU rRNA". It matches the Rfam family "Bacterial small subunit ribosomal RNA", at positions 28 to 507 of the family's 1533-position model. The record is from RNAcentral.